Long non-coding RNA from Oncorhynchus keta (chum salmon), 2425 nucleotides. RefSeq lists it as uncharacterized. The transcript has 3 exons. The record is from RefSeq and is a predicted model, not a curated record. Lineage: Eukaryota; Metazoa; Chordata; Actinopteri; Salmoniformes; Salmonidae.
ACACCCUUAAAUCAUUGCAGUUAUCAGAACCUCAGGUUUGUUCCAACAGCCGAGGGAUGAAGGAGACUUGGAAGUAUUGCUGAAGCUGGUGUUUGGUGUUUUGUUGUGUUGUAGCUAACGUCAGGUGUUUUAUUGUGUGUUGUAGCUGACAUCUGGUGUGUUGUUGUGUGUUGUAGCUGACGUCUGGUGUGUUGUUGUGUGUUGUAGCUAACGUCAGGUGUUUUGUGUGUUGUAGCUAACGUCAGGUGUUUUAUUGUGUGUUGUAGCUGACGUCUGGUGUUUUAUUGUGUGUUGUAGCUAACGUCAGGUGUUUUAUUGUGUGUUGUAGCUAACGUCAGGUGUUUUAUUGUGUGUUGUAGCUAACGUCUGGUGUUUUAUUGUGUGUUGUAGCUGACGUCUGGUGUUAUAUUGUGUGUUGUAGCUGACGUCUGGUGUUUUAUUGUGUGUUGUAGCUGACGUCUGGUGUUUUAUUGUGUGUUGUAGCUGACGUCUGGUGUUAUAUUGUGUGUUGUAGCUAACGUCAGGUGUUUUAUUGUGUGUUGUAGCUGACGUCAGGUGUUUUAUUGUGUGUUGUAGCUGACGUCUUGUGUUUUAUUGUGUGUUGUAGCUAACGUCAGGUGUUUUAUUGUGUGUUGUAGCUAACGUCAGGUGUUUUAUUGUGUGUUGUAGCUGACGUCUGGUGUUUUAUUGUGUGUUGUAGCUGACGUCUGGUGUUUUAUUGUGUGUUGUAGCUGACGUCAGGUGUUUUAUUGUGUGUUGUAGCUGACGUCUGGUGUUUUAUUGUGUGUUGUAGCUGACGUCUGGUGUUUUAUUGUGUGUUGUAGCUAACGUCAGGUGUUUUAUUGUGUGUUGUAGCUAACGUCUGGUGUUUUAUUGUGUGUUGUAGCUGACGUCUGGUGUUUUAUUGUGUGUUGUAGCUGACAUCUGGUGUGUUGUUGUGUGUUGUAGCUGACGUCUGGUGUUUUAUUGUGUGCUGUAGCUGACAUCUGGUGUGUUGUGUGUUGUAGCUAACGUCAGGUGUUUUGUGUGUUGUAGCUAACGUCAGGUGUUUUGUGUGUUGUAGCUGACGUCAGGUGUUUUAUUGUGUGUUGUAGCUGACGUCUGGUGUUUUAUUGUGUGUUGUAGCUAACGUCAGGUGUUUUAUUGUGUGUUGUAGCUAACGUCAGGUGUUUUAUUGUGUGUUGUAGCUAACGUCAGGUGUUUUAUUGUGUGUUGUAGCUGACGUCUGGUGUUUUAUUGUGUGUUGUAGCUGACGUCUGGUGUUUUAUUGUGUGUUGUAGCUAACGUCAGUUUUUUUUAUUGUGUGUUGUAGCUAACGUCUGGUGUGUUGUAGCUGAUGUCAGGUGUUUUAUUGUGUGUUGUAGCUGACGUCUGGUGUUUUAUUGUGUGUUGUAGCUAACGUCAGGUGUUUUAUUGUGUGUUGUAGCUAACGUCAGGUGUUUUAUUGUGUGUUGUAGCUAACGUCAGGUGUUUUAUUGUGUGUUGUAGCUGACGUCUGGUGUUUUAUUGUGUGUUGUAGCUGACGUCUGGUGUUUUAUUGUGUGUUGUAGCUAACGUCAGUUUUUUUUAUUGUGUGUUGUAGCUAACGUCUGGUGUGUUGUAGCUGAUGUCAGGUGUUUUAUUGUGUGUUGUAGCUGACGUCUGGUGUUUUAUUGUGUGUUGUAGCUGACGUCUGGUGUUUUAUUGUGUGUUGUAGCUGACGUCUGGUGUUUUAUUGUGUGUUGUAGCUGACAUCUGGUGUGUUGUGUGUUGUAGCUAACGUCAGGUGUUUUGUGUGUUGUAGCUAACGUCUGGUGUUUUAUUGUGUGUUGUAGCUGAUGUCAGGUGUUUUAUUGUGUGUUGUAGCUAACGUCAGGUGUUUUAUUGUGUGUUGUAGCUGAUGUCAGGUGUUUUAUUGUGUGUUGUAGCUAACGUGAGGUGUUUUAUUGUGUGUUGUAGCUAACGUGAGGUGUUUUAUUGUGUGUUGUAGCUGACGUCUGGUGUUUUAUUGUGUGUUGUAGCUAACGUCAGGUGUUUUAUUGUGUGUUGUAGCUGACGUCUGGUGUUUUAUUGUGUGUUGUAGCUGACGUCUGGUGUUUUAUUGUGUGUUGUAGCUGAUGUCAGGUGUUUUAUUGUGUGUUGUAGCUGACGUCAGGUGUUUUAUUGUGUGUUGUAGCUGACGUCAGGUGUUUUAUUGUGUGUUGUAGCUGACGUCUGGUGUUUUAUUGUGUGUUGUAGCUGACGUCUGGUGUGUUGUUGUGUGUUGUAGCUGACGUCUGGUGUUUUAUUGUGUGUUGUAGCUGACGUCUGGUGUGUUGUUGUGUGUUGUAGAUGACGUCUGGUGUGUUGUUGUGUGUUGUAGCUGACGUCUGGUGUGUUGUUGUGUGUUGUAGCUGACGUCUGGUGUGUUAUUGUGUGUUGUAGCUGACGUCUGGUGUUUUGUUGU